RNAcentral lists this ribosomal RNA (1015 nucleotides) under uncultured bacterium. Its description in RNAcentral is "bacterial SSU rRNA". It matches the Rfam family "Bacterial small subunit ribosomal RNA", at positions 28 to 1035 of the family's 1533-position model. The record is from RNAcentral.
GAUGAACGCUAGCUACAGGCUUAACACAUGCAAGUCGAGGGGCGGCGGGGGAGAAAGUUCGCUUUUUCCUGCCGGCGACCGGCGCACGGGUGCGUAACGCGUAUCGAACCUGCCUCGUACUCAGGAACAGGCUCCUGAAAAGGAGAUUAAUGCCUGAUGGUCUCUUAGGAUUACAUGGUCUUGGGAGUAAAGAUUUAUCGGUACGAGAUGGCGAUGCGUCCCAUUAGAUAGUAGGCGGGGUAACGGCCCACCUAGUCGACGAUGGGUAGGGGUUCUGAGAGGAAGGUCCCCCACAUUGGAACUGAGACACGGUCCAAACUCCUACGGGAGGCAGCAGUGAGGAAUAUUGGUCAAUGGACGAGAGUCUGAACCAGCCAAGUAGCGUGCAGGAAGACGGCCCUCUGGGUUGUAAACUGCUUUUAGUUGGGAAUAUAAAGGAGCACGAGUGCUCCAUGGAAGGUACCAUCAGAAAAAGGACCGGCUAAUUCCGUGCCAGCAGCCGCGGUAAUACGGAAGGUCCGGGCGUUAUCCGGAUUUAUUGGGUUUAAAGGGAGCGCAGGCGGAUGCGUAAGUCAGCUGUGAAAGUUUGAGGCUCAACCUUAAAAUUGCAGUUGAAACUGCGUGUCUUGGGUGCACACAGGGAUGCCCGAAUUCACUGUGUAGCGGUGAAAUGCUUAGAUAUCGUGAAGAACUCCAAUCGCGAAGGCAAGUGUCCGGAGUGCAACUGACGCUGAGGCUCGAAAGUGUGGGUAUCGAACAGGAUUAGAUACCCUGGUAGUCCACACAGUAAACGAUGAAUACUCGCGGUUUGUCCGCUUUAGGAUAAGUCGCCAAGCGAAAGCAUUUAAGUAUUCCACCUGGGGAGUACGCCGGCAACGGUGAAACUCAAAGGAAUUGACGGGGCUCGCAUAAGCGAGGAACAUGGUGGUUUAAUUCGAUGAUACGCGAAGACCUUACUCGGCUGACUGGUGCAGAAGGAGGAAGAGACCUCUUUUCGUUCUUCGGACCUGCAUGA